GCGGCGCGCCUAACACAUGCAAGUCGAACGAGCGAGAGAGAGCUUGCUUUCUCGAGCGAGUGGCGAACGGGUGAGUAACGCGUGAGGAAUCUGCCUCAAAGAGGGGGACAACAGUUGGAAACGACUGCUAAUACCGCAUAAGCCCACGGUGCCGCAUGGCACAGAGGGAAAAGGAGUAAUCCGCUUUGAGAUGGCCUCGCGUCCGAUUAGCUAGUUGGUGAGGUAACGGCCCACCAAGGCGACGAUCGGUAGCCGGACUGAGAGGUUGAACGGCCACAUUGGGACUGAGACACGGCCCAGACUCCUACGGGAGGCAGCAGUGGGGAAUAUUGCACAAUGGGGGAAACCCUGAUGCAGCGACGCCGCGUGGAGGAAGAAGGUCUUCGGAUUGUAAACUCCUGUUGUUGGGGAAGAUAAUGACGGUACCCAACAAGGAAGUGACGGCUAACUACGUGCCAGCAGCCGCGGUAAAACGUAGGUCACAAGCGUUGUCCGGAAUUACUGGGUGUAAAGGGAGCGCAGGCGGGAAGACAAGUUGGAAGUGAAAUCUAUGGGCUCAACCCAUAAACUGCUUUCAAAACUGUUUUUCUUGAGUAGUGCAGAGGUAGGCGGAAUUCCCGGUGUAGCGGUGGAAUGCGUAGAUAUCGGGAGGAACACCAGUGGCGAAGGCGGCCUACUGGGCACCAACUGACGCUGAGGCUCGAAAGUGUGGGUAGCAAACAGGAUUAGAUACCCUGGUAGUCCACACCGUAAACGAUGAUUACUAGGUGUUGGAGGGUUGACCCCUUCAGUGCCGCAGUUAACACAAUAAGUAAUCCACCUGGGGAGUACGACCGCAAGGUUGAAACUCAAAGGAAUUGACGGGGGCCCGCACAAGCAGUGGAGUAUGUGGUUUAAUUCGACGCAACGCGAAGAACCUUACCAAGUCUUGACAUCCCUUGACAGACAUAGAAAUAUGUAAUCUCUUCGGAGCAAGGAGACAGGUGGUGCAUGGUUGUCGUCAGCUCGUGUCGUGAGAUGUUGGGUUAAGUCCCGCAACGAGCGCAACCCUUAUGGUCAGUUACUACGCAAGAGGACUCUGGCCAGACUGCCGUUGACAAAACGGAGGAAGGUGGGGAUGACGUCAAAUCAUCAUGCCCUUUAUGACUUGGGCUACACACGUACUACAAUGGCGUUAAACAAAGAGAAGCAAGACCGCGAGGUGGAGCAAAACUCAGAAACAACGUCCCAGUUCGGACUGCAGGCUGCAACUCGCCUGCACGAAGUCGGAAUUGCUAGUAAUCGUGGAUCAGCAUGCCACGGUGAAUACGUUCCCGGGCCUUGCC
RNAcentral lists this ribosomal RNA (1325 nucleotides) under uncultured bacterium. RNAcentral's name for it is "bacterial SSU rRNA". It matches the Rfam family "Bacterial small subunit ribosomal RNA", at positions 39 to 1385 of the family's 1533-position model. The record is from RNAcentral.